CGGGGGGCAGCAGUGAGGAAUAUUGGUCAAUGGACGCAAGUCUGAACCAGCCAUGCCGCGUGAAGGAUGAAGGCCUUCUGGGUUGUAAACUUCUUUUACAGGAGAAGAAAACUAUGGUUUCUACUAUAGCCGACGGUACCCUGGGAAUAAGCACCGGCUAACUCCGUGCCAGCAGCCGCGGUAAUACGGAGGGUGCAAGCGUUAUCCGGAUUUACUGGGUUUAAAGGGUGUGUAGGCGGGCUUUUAAGUCAGUGGUGAAAUCUCCGAGCUCAACUUGGAAACUGCCAUUGAUACUAUUAGUCUUGAAUUUUGUUGAGGUGGGCGGAAUAAGUCAUGUAGCGGUGAAAUGCAUAGAUAUGACUUAGAACUCCAAUUGCGAAGGCAGCUCACUAAACAAACAUUGACGCUGAGGCACGAAAGCGUGGGGAUCAAACAGGAUUAGAUACCCCAGU
Molecule: ribosomal RNA, 452 nt
Filed under: uncultured Chitinophagaceae bacterium
Lineage: Bacteria; Pseudomonadati; Bacteroidota; Chitinophagia; Chitinophagales; Chitinophagaceae
Description: bacterial SSU rRNA
Rfam family: Bacterial small subunit ribosomal RNA
Source: RNAcentral